CUUGGUCAUUUAGAGGAAGUAAAAGUCGUAACAAGGUUUCCGUAGGUGAACCUGCGGAAGGAUCAUUAAUGAUUGCGAAUGGUUGCCUUCAGUGCUGGCCGGCUUCGGCUUUGGCAAGUGCACGUCGGUGACUUUCAUCCAAUACCCUGUGAACCUUUGGCCUCUGCUAGCUUCGGCCGGCAGAGGAUUUUACACAAACUCGAAUGUAAUGAAAUUUAUUGUCGUGCGCAAGCACUAAUGUACAACUUUCAACAACGGAUCUCUUGGCUCUCGCAUCGAUGAAGAACGCAGCGAAAUGCGAUAAGUAAUGUGAAUUGCAGAAUUCAGUGAAUCAUCGAAUCUUUGAACGCACCUUGCGCCCUUUGGCUAUUCCGAAGGGCAUGCCUGUUUGAGUAUCAUGAACACCUCAACUCUCAUGGCUUUGCCGUGACGAGCUUGGACUUUGGGGGUCUUGCUGGCCUGUGGUCAGCUCCUCUCAAAUGAAUUAGCUUGCCAGUGUUUGGUGGCAUCACGGGUGUGAUAACUAUCUACGCUUGUGGUUUCCCACCAGGUAACCUUCAGUGAUGAAGGUUCGCUGGGGCUCAUAAAUGUGUCUCUCCUCAGCGAGGGACAGCUCUUUGAAUGUUUGAUCUCAAAUCAGGUAGGACUACCCGCUGAACUUAAGCAUAUCAAUAAGCGGAGG
Molecule: ribosomal RNA, 682 nt
Filed under: uncultured fungus
Lineage: Eukaryota; Fungi
Description: eukaryotic LSU rRNA
Rfam family: 5.8S ribosomal RNA (bases 244-398)
Source: RNAcentral